AUCUUUGUGUUUGGGGGCAAUGACACAGCUAACGAGCUUUUAACCAAGGCGUGUCUAUUGCUGCUGGUUGAAAACUAUUUUCAAAUCCCUUCUUAAGCUUAAGACAACUCAAGUCUUUGAGAAUUACUGGAAGGACUCCCUUUAAAGUAAAGUC
This is a small nuclear RNA of Medicago truncatula (barrel medic), 154 nucleotides long. It matches the Rfam family "U4 spliceosomal RNA". Rfam says of the family: U4 small nuclear RNA (U4 snRNA) is a component of the major U2-dependent spliceosome. The structure of U4 snRNA from yeast and human has been reported. The record is from Rfam. NCBI's taxonomy places the organism in Eukaryota, Viridiplantae, Streptophyta, Magnoliopsida, Fabales, Fabaceae.